AUUGAACGCUGGCAGCAGGCUUAACACAUGCAAGUCGAGCGGGGUGAUGGUGCUUGCACUAUCACUUAGCGGCGGACGGGUGAGUAAUGCUUAGGAAUCUGCCUAUCAGUGGGGGACAACAUCUCGAAAGGGAUGCUAAUACCGCAUACGUCCUACGGGAGAAAGCAGGGGAUCACUUGUGACCUUGCGCUAAUAGAUGAGCCUAAGUCGGAUUAGCUAGUUGGUGGGGUAAAGGCCUACCAAGGCGACGAUCUGUAGCGGGUCUGAGAGGAUGAUCCGCCACACUGGGACUGAGACACGGCCCAGACUCCUACGGGAGGCAGCAGUGGGGAAUAUUGGACAAUGGGGGGAACCCUGAUCCAGCCAUGCCGCGUGUGUGAAGAAGGCCUUAUGGUUGUAAAGCACUUUAAGCGAGGAGGAGGCUCUUUUGGUUAAUACCCAAGAUGAGUGGACGUUACUCGCAGAAUAAGCACCGGCUAACUCUGUGCCAGCAGCCGCGGUAA
Molecule: ribosomal RNA, 503 nt
Filed under: uncultured bacterium
Lineage: Bacteria
Description: partial 16S ribosomal RNA
Rfam family: Bacterial small subunit ribosomal RNA
Source: RNAcentral